UGGGAAUUGAUGAAUUAAGGAAGCAGUAGCACUCCCUCCCGAUGUUUUGCCAGAAGCUCGUUUUCCGACAGAAAGAGAAAACUUCAGCCCCGGACCGAAAGGUGGGCGUCUCGAUCUAAACCAGCCUUGUCUACCAAGAAUCGAUACAUCGAGAAGGUAGCAUGUCGAACUAGAAUGCCCUUAAUUGAGGAAGUGAAAACUCCUUUGAAAAGCUUCUAUCUGACAGGAGGAAGUACUCAACUAGUGAAUGAAAGGAAAGAUGACGCCCAGGCGAAGUCAACUUAUUCAACAGUCCUCUUUA
RNAcentral lists this long non-coding RNA (301 nucleotides) under Nicotiana benthamiana. RNAcentral describes it as "long non-coding RNA (NBEN_LNC020412)". Lineage: Eukaryota; Viridiplantae; Streptophyta; Magnoliopsida; Solanales; Solanaceae. The record is from RNAcentral.